Molecule: ribosomal RNA, 492 nt
Filed under: uncultured bacterium
Lineage: Bacteria
Description: partial 16S ribosomal RNA
Rfam family: Bacterial small subunit ribosomal RNA
Source: RNAcentral
AGUGAACGCUGGCGGUAGGCCUAACACAUGCAAGUCGAACGGCAGCACAGUAAGAGCUUGCUCUUACGGGUGGCGAGUGGCGGACGGGUGAGGAAUACAUCGGAAUCUACUUUUUCGUGGGGGAUAACGUAGGGAAACUUACGCUAAUACCGCAUACGACCUACGGGUGAAAGCAGGGGAUCUUCGGACCUUGCGCGAUUGAAUGAGCCGAUGUCGGAUUAGCUAGUUGGCGGGGUAAAGGCCCACCAAGGCGACGCUCCGUAGCUGGUCUGAGAGGAUGAUCAGCCACACUGGAACUGAGACACGGUCCAGACUCCUACGGGAGGCAGCAGUGGGGAAUAUUGGACAAUGGGCGCAAGCCUGAUCCAGCCAUACCGCGUGGGUGAAGAAGGCCUUCGGGUUGUAAAGCCCUUUUGUUGGGAAAGAAAAGCAGCAGGCUAAUACCCCGCUGUUCUGACGGUACCCAAAGAAUAAGCACCGGCUAACUUCGUG